RNAcentral lists this ribosomal RNA (253 nucleotides) under uncultured bacterium. Its description in RNAcentral is "partial 16S ribosomal RNA". It matches the Rfam family "Bacterial small subunit ribosomal RNA", at positions 524 to 776 of the family's 1533-position model. The record is from RNAcentral.
UACGGAGGGUGCAAGCGUUAUCCGGAUUCACUGGGUUUAAAGGGUGCGUAGGCGGGUUGGUAAGUCAGUGGUGAAAUCUCCAGGCUUAACUUGGAAACUGCCAUUGAUACUAUCAAUCUUGAAUACCGUGGAGGUCAGCGGAAUAUGUCAUGUAGCGGUGAAAUGCUUAGAUAUGACAUAGAACACCAAUUGCGAAGGCAGCUGGCUACACGAAUAUUGACACUGAUGCACGAAAGCGUGGGGAUCAAACAGG